UGAAGAAAGGUCAGAAGCUC
RNAcentral lists this non-coding RNA (20 nucleotides) under Mus musculus (house mouse). Lineage: Eukaryota; Metazoa; Chordata; Mammalia; Rodentia; Muridae. The record is from RNAcentral.